UGCCAGUGUGUGUAUGUGUGUGUGUGUGUGUGUGUUUAUAUCUGACACACAGAUACAUACACACACACACACACUCGCACA
Non-coding RNA from Pelobates cultripes (western spadefoot toad), 81 nucleotides. The record is from the annotation of a GenBank genome assembly. NCBI's taxonomy places the organism in Eukaryota, Metazoa, Chordata, Amphibia, Anura, Pelobatidae.